Long non-coding RNA from Mus musculus (house mouse), 1290 nucleotides. RefSeq annotates it as predicted gene, 38976. NCBI's taxonomy places the organism in Eukaryota, Metazoa, Chordata, Mammalia, Rodentia, Muridae. The transcript has 3 exons. The record is from RefSeq and is a predicted model, not a curated record.
UGCUGAACAGGCAAAGCUAAGAUAGGUCUAAAGACCCCUGCACUGUGUGUGGUCUCAAUACCCCUGCACUCAGAACAGAAGGACUCCAGCUGUAUGAUUCACAAUAGGGGAGCCAUCUUUGUCCAGAUGUGACACACAAAGGAGAGUUGGAUGAAGGCCCACCAUGACCUCCUCAGGAGAACUGCAAGUUUCCUUUGGGGGUUCAUCUAAAGCUUGGAGGUCAAAGCCAAAGAGGAUACAGGGACUAAGAGGACACCCACAUGUCCCUUGCUAUGCAAGGUCAUCCAGGACCUAGGAGAUGACAUGAAUUCUCUAAAGUGGCCCUAAAACUCUGAGAAGUCACCUCUUCCGUUGAUCAGAGAGGCCCUGGAGUCACCAGAGUUUAGAUGGCAACUGCGUAUAUCCUGUAAAGAGAGCCGGUGAAGGAAGACAUGUCCAUGGUCACACUUGUGCCGUAUGCUGGGAACUGUGUGGAGUGUGAUAGACCCUGAUCCCAGCCUGCUGGAAAUUGCUCAUCUCUAGACAGAAUUAGCUCCUGAGAGCCUCAGUUCCAGACCUGCCACUUUCUGCCCACCAGCUUCUAACUCUGCACCUUGCUCUCUGUAGUACUAAAACUCGAAGCAUCCUCCAGUUCCAGCUUCCAUUAAGCUGUCCAUAAACGUGUGCCGCUGCACCUCCUCAUGCGCACGCUGCCCUCAGCACCCAUCCAACCCCACUCUCAUCAUCACACACCUUUACUCACAUCUCAGACUGUAAGCUGACUCCAGCUCUCCAACUCCUCUGUUCUUGCAUCCUAGAAGCUGAGUGUGGAGGGGUAAAACACAGGACCACUCUGGCUCAUUCAUAAUGAAACUCUCUGGAAGAAACUUUUGUACUUGUCCCAUCUCUUAUUUCUUGGACUAAUUCCCAAGUUUUUCCUUACACCAGUUGACCAAAAGCUGCAAAAGUCCUUCAUGGUACUAAAGCCAGUGGUGCAUCCAUUUUCUGUCAUCUUAAUGGCCAGCGGCAGUGUUUGACAGCCGCCUGCUUUGCAUAUGUGAUUUCCACUUGGCCUCCAGUGGUCUCUAUCAACUUCAUUCACUUUUGCCUUCUUGAUUGGAUUCAGGAAUUAAGGGAAUUAAGUCCUCACUCUAACUCUAUGAGAAAACAUUAGCCCUCCUCCGGUUUAAAGGUGAUGAAACCAAGUCAGAGAGAGACUGGGCGACUCACCAGGCUUAUAAACGGUGAGGCCAGAGUCUUCUUGUCUUUCUCUCUCCACCUUUAUACCUCUUCUCCCAUCCAUCCAUCCAU